ACACUCCUACGGGAGGCAGCAGUGGGGAAUUUUGGACAAUGGGCGAAAGCCUGAUCCAGCCAUGCCGCGUGCAGGAUGUAGGCCUUCGGGUUGUAAACUGCUUUUGUACGGAACGAAACGGCCUUUUCUAAUAAAGAGGGCUAAUGACGGUACCGUAAGAAUAAGCACCGGCUAACUACGUGCCAGCAGCCGCGGUAAUACGUAGGGUGCAAGCGUUAAUCGGAAUUACUGGGCGUAAAGCGUGCGCAGGCGGUUAUGUAAGACAGUUGUGAAAUCCCCGGGCUCAACCUGGGAACUGCAUCUGUGACUGCAUAGCUAGAGUACGGUAGAGGGGGAUGGAAUUCCGCGUGUAGCAGUGAAAUGCGUAGAUAUGCGGAGGAACACCGAUGGCGAAGGCAAUCCCCUGGACCUGUACUGACGCUCAUGCACGAAAGCGUGGGGAGCAAACAGGAUUAGAAACCCUGGUAGUCCCAU
This 474-nucleotide ribosomal RNA is filed under the name uncultured organism. RNAcentral's name for it is "partial 16S ribosomal RNA". It matches the Rfam family "Bacterial small subunit ribosomal RNA", at positions 333 to 798 of the family's 1533-position model. The record is from RNAcentral.